This is a long non-coding RNA of Bos taurus (domestic cattle), 432 nucleotides long. Lineage: Eukaryota; Metazoa; Chordata; Mammalia; Artiodactyla; Bovidae. The record is from Ensembl.
CCAGAAGCCAGGUGAAUACAGCACAGCAGCUGGUGUGUGGAAACGGCAGUUCCCACUGGCGUCUGCUUUGCUCCUCCACGCGGCCCCACCUGGACAUCCUUACUGGGCUGUGUUCCAGUCUCCAGGAAACCAGGUAUUGAGGGAAUGGGCCAGCUGUGUGCAAUGAGGAGACCCCCUCUCACCCUGGCCGGCUGCACACACGCCUACGAGGACGGCGCGGAACCCCUCAUUUGCACCCGCACAACUGCUGCGUAGGCUCCGUGGCCCGAACAGAGAAAGAGGCGGGUUGUGCUGCCAUCUGGCGUCCACACGAGAUAUCUCCUAGAAUAUCACAUGCAUGCUUUAAAGCUUCAAGAACCUCCGAAAUUUCCUCUUUUCUAUCACUAAAGGUUUUUAAGUCUAGUAAAUUAAACUUCAGGAAAUAAAAUGAAC